UGAAAACAUACAGAACAACUUUGCAAUGUGCAGAUAUACAGCAGUACUCACCUCAAAUUACAGAAAGUCAUACAACAAGAUCCCUGCUGGUUCCAUGAUACACACAUUCCAUACACAGACACAGACACAUUCCAUACACACACACACAUUCCAUACACGUGCACACACACAUUCCAUACACACAGACACACAUUCCAUACACACAGACACACAUUCCAUACACACACAUUCCAUACAUACACACACAUUCCACACACACACAUUCCAUACACAUACACACACAUUCCAUACACGCACACACACAUUCCAUACACACAAACAUUCCAUACACACACACACAUUCCAUACACAUACACAGACACACAUUCCAUACACACACACACAUUCCAUACACAGACACACAUUCCAUAAACACACACACAUUCCAUACACACACACAUUCCAUACACACACACAUUCCAUAUACACACAUUCCAUACACACACAUAGACACACAUUCCAUAUACACACACGCCAUACACACAUUCCAAACACACACACACAUUCCAUACACACACAUAUUCCAUACACACACAUUCCAUACACACAUACAUACACACACACAUACACAGACACACAUUCCAUGCACACACACACAUUCCAUACACACACACAUUCCAUACACACACCUUCCAUAGCAACAGACACACGCUCCAUACACACACAUUGCAUACACAUACACACACAUUCCAUACACACACAUUCCAUACACAUGCACAGUUACCCAUUCCAUACACACACACAUUCCAUACACAGACACACACCAUACACACACACAGACACACAUUCCAUACACACACACAUUCUGUAUGCACACACACACAUUCCAUACCCACACACACACAUUCGAUACGCACAUAUAUUCCAUAUACACACACACAUUCCAUACACAGACACAUUCCAUACACACACAGACACAUUCCAUACACAUACACAGACACAUUCUGUACACACAGACACACAUUCCAUACACAGACACAUUCCAUACACACACAGACACAUUCCAUACACAUACACAGACACAUUCUGUACACACAGACACACAUUCCAUACACACACACACAUUCCAUACACAUACACAGACACACAUUCCAUACACACACACAUUCCAUACGCACAAACACAUUCCAUACACACACACAUAUUCCAUAAACACAAACACAUUCCAUACACACACACAGACUAAUUCCAUACACAGAGACACAUUCCAUACACUUACGCAGACACAUUCCACACACACACACAUUCCAUGCACACACAUAGACUCAUUCCGUACACACACAUAGACACAUUCCAUACACACACAGACACAUUCCAUAUGCAUACGCAGGUAUGUCCCCAAAGAAAUAGAUUGUCUCCAUCAUAUGCACAUUAACCCAACGAAAUACUUUUGGAGCUCUGUAACACCCAAACUUGAC
This 1457-nucleotide long non-coding RNA is filed under the name Homo sapiens (human). RNAcentral describes it as "non-protein coding lnc-SPANXB1-7:3". The record is from RNAcentral. Lineage: Eukaryota; Metazoa; Chordata; Mammalia; Primates; Hominidae.